This 253-nucleotide ribosomal RNA is filed under the name uncultured bacterium. RNAcentral's name for it is "partial 16S ribosomal RNA". It matches the Rfam family "Bacterial small subunit ribosomal RNA", at positions 524 to 776 of the family's 1533-position model. The record is from RNAcentral.
UACGUAGGGUGCGAGCGUUGUCCGGAAUUAUUGGGCGUAAAGGGCUCGUAGGCGGUCUGUUGCGUCGGGAGUGAAAACUCAGGGCUUAACCCUGAGCCUGCUUCCGAUACGGGCAGACUAGAGGUAUGCAGGGGAGAACGGAAUUCCUGGUGUAGCGGUGAAAUGCGCAGAUAUCAGGAGGAACACCAGUGGCGAAGGCGGUUCUCUGGGCAUUACCUGACGCUGAGGAGCGAAAGUGUGGGGAGCGAACAGG